AAUAGAUACCCAGGUAGUCCAUGCCGUAAACGUUGGGCACUAGGUGUGGGGCUCAUUCCACGAGUUCCGUGCCGCAGCAAACGCAUUAAGUGCCCCGCCUGGGGAGUACGGCCGCAAGGCUAAAACUCAAAGGAAUUGACGGGGGCCCGCAUAAGCGGCGGAGCAUGCGGAUUAAUUCGAUGCAACGCGAAGAACCUUACCAAGGCUUGACAUGCACGGGAAGCCACCAGAGAUGGUGGUUUCUUUGGACACUCGUGCACAGGUGGUGCGUGGUUGUCGUCAGCUCGUGUCGUGAGAUGUUGGGUUAAGUCCCGCAACGAGCGCAACCCUGUCCCAUGUUGCCAGCGGGUUAUGCCGGGGACUCAUGGGAGACUGCCGGGGUCAACUCGGAGGAAGGUGGGGAUGACGUCAAAUCAUCAUGCCCCUUAUGUCUUGGGCUUCACGCAUGCUACAAUGGCCGGUACAAAGGGCUGCGAUGCCGUAAGGUGGAGCGAAUCCCAAAAAGCCGGUCUCAGUUCGGAUUGGGGUCUGC
This 532-nucleotide ribosomal RNA is filed under the name uncultured bacterium. Its description in RNAcentral is "bacterial SSU rRNA". It matches the Rfam family "Bacterial small subunit ribosomal RNA", at positions 777 to 1308 of the family's 1533-position model. The record is from RNAcentral.